Molecule: ribosomal RNA, 760 nt
Filed under: Erysiphe aquilegiae
Lineage: Eukaryota; Fungi; Ascomycota; Leotiomycetes; Helotiales; Erysiphaceae
Description: eukaryotic LSU rRNA
Rfam family: Eukaryotic large subunit ribosomal RNA
Source: RNAcentral
UUGACCUCGAAUCAGGUAGGAAUACCCGCUGAACUUAAGCAUAUCAAUAAGCGGAGGAAAAGAAACCAACCGGGAUUACCUCAGUAACGGCGAGUGAAGCGGUAACAGCUCAAAUUUGAAAUCUGGCUCCUUCGGAGUCCGAGUUGUAAUUUGUAGAAGAUGCUUUGGGUUGUGGGCUCGGCCUAAGUUCCUUGGAACAGGACGUCAUAGAGGGUGAGAAUCCCGUAUGUGGCCAUGGCCCGCGCCUAUGUAAAGCUCUUUCGACGAGUCGAGUUGUUUGGGAAUGCAGCUCAAAAUGGGUGGUAAAUUUCAUCUAAAGCUAAAUAUGGGCCAGAGACCGAUAGCGCACAAGUAGAGUGAUCGAAAGAUGAAAAGCACUUUGGAAAGAGAGUUAAACAGUACGUGAAAUUGUUGAAAGGGAAGCGCUUGCAACCAGACUUGGGCGCUGCCGAUCACCCCGAGUUCUCUCGGGUGCACUCGACAGCGCACAGGCCAGCAUCGGUUCGGGUGGCUGGAUAAAGGCCGUAGGAAUGUAGCUCUCUUCGGGGAGUGUUAUAGCCCACGGUGCCAUGCAGCCCAGCCGGACCGAGGACCGCGCCUUCGGGCUAGGAUGCUGGCGUAAUGGUUGUAAGCGACCCGUCUUGAAACACGGACCAAGGAGUCUAACAUCUAUGCGAGUGUUUGGGCGUUAAACCCAUACGCGGAAUGAAAGUGAACGUAGGUGAGAACCCCUUUGGGGCGCAUCAUCGACCGAUCCUGA